GGUCAUUUGGGGGAAGAUGGCUCGGUAAUAAGGAGGGGGGUUGGGGUGGUCGGAUUGAGUGGGCGUAAAUAGGUUGGAGGCUGUCAGGUAGGUCUGCUGUGGAAACUCUGGGCUGAACCUCGAGAUGUCGGCGGAGACCAGCUGGCUAGAGUCCGGAAGAGGGGAGUGGAAGUCCGGGGGUAGCGGGGAAAUGCGCAGAUAUCAGGAAGAACACCCGUGGCGAAGGCGGCUCUCUGGGACGGUACUGACGCUGAGACGCGAAAGCGUGGGGAGCGAACAGGAUUAGAUACCCCGGUAGUC
RNAcentral lists this ribosomal RNA (300 nucleotides) under uncultured Sediminicola sp. RNAcentral's name for it is "bacterial SSU rRNA". It matches the Rfam family "Bacterial small subunit ribosomal RNA", at positions 496 to 795 of the family's 1533-position model. Lineage: Bacteria; Pseudomonadati; Bacteroidota; Flavobacteriia; Flavobacteriales; Flavobacteriaceae. The record is from RNAcentral.